This 497-nucleotide ribosomal RNA is filed under the name uncultured bacterium. RNAcentral describes it as "partial 16S ribosomal RNA". It matches the Rfam family "Bacterial small subunit ribosomal RNA", at positions 28 to 507 of the family's 1533-position model. The record is from RNAcentral.
GAUGAACGCUGGCGGCGUGCCUAAUACAUGCAAGUCGAGCGAACAGAUGAGGAGCUUGCUCCUCUGACGUUAGCGGCGGACGGGUGAGUAACACGUGGAUAACCUACCUAUAAGACUGGGAUAACUUCGGGAAACCGGAGCUAAUACCGGAUAAUAUAUUGAACCGCAUGGUUCAAUAGUGAAAGACGGUUUUGCUGUCACUUAUAGAUGGAUCCGCGCCGCAUUAGCUAGUUGGUAAGGUAACGGCUUACCAAGGCAACGAUGCGUAGCCGACCUGAGAGGGUGAUCGGCCACACUGGAACUGAGACACGGUCCAGACUCCUACGGGAGGCAGCAGUAGGGAAUCUUCCGCAAUGGGCGAAAGCCUGACGGAGCAACGCCGCGUGAGUGAUGAAGGUCUUCGGAUCGUAAAACUCUGUUAUUAGGGAAGAACAAAUGUGUAAGUAACUGUGCACGUCUUGACGGUACCUAAUCAGAAAGCCACGGCUAACUACGUG